RNAcentral lists this ribosomal RNA (190 nucleotides) under uncultured bacterium. RNAcentral describes it as "partial small subunit ribosomal RNA". It matches the Rfam family "Bacterial small subunit ribosomal RNA", at positions 337 to 524 of the family's 1533-position model. The record is from RNAcentral.
UCCUACGGGAGGCAGCAGUGAGGAAUAUUGGACAAUGGAGGCAACUCUGAUCCAGCCAUGCCGCGUGUAGGAAGACUGCCCUAUGGGUUGUAAACUACUUUUAUAUGGGAAGAAUAAGAUCUACGUGUAGAUUGAUGACGGUACCAUAGGAAUAAGCACCGGCUAACUCCGUGCCAGCAGCCGCGGUAAU